Cannabis sativa is the source of this 2666-nucleotide long non-coding RNA. RefSeq lists it as uncharacterized. Lineage: Eukaryota; Viridiplantae; Streptophyta; Magnoliopsida; Rosales; Cannabaceae. The transcript is spliced from 2 exons. The record is from RefSeq and is a predicted model, not a curated record.
AAAAACUGCAAAAUUCAAACCUAUUUAUUUGUUGUGAGUUUAGAAUUCUAUUUUUGUAUCUGAUCAAUUUUGCCACAACUCCCAUGAAAUAUGGGCCCAAAUAUGGUCUUUGAAGUGGGCUUAAAUUUCAUGAGCAUAGUAGGUCGACCACCGUUAGCUAUGAAAUGGGCCAGCACGAAUAAGAGAAACGGGUCCACUAUUCUCAAAGGUUGAUUGACACAACCUAAUUCACAUUCAUAGAUGGGCUUACCCAACUUCUGUUUUCCUAAGAGACACAAAAUGACAAAAUUAUGAAUACAAAUACAUUUUAUUAUUAUUUUGCACGCCGCUAAUGAUAAAAAUGGAUUGUAAUCUGCUACAAAGAUUUUACAACUAUGAUUGCUUUUGCUAUGAGAGUUCCCGCUCAAAUAAUUUUAAGAUCAUUAUUAGAUGUUUUUAUAAGUUUGUUAUUCAUAUUUCCAGGAGUAUCCCUAAUCUGUGUUACACAUGAAUUAGUUGUGCAUGCUCUUUGGAUGAAUAAAUAACUUGUUGUUGGGUGUAUAGUAUUAUUUUGAUUAUCCUCACAAGAAUAGUAUUUAUUUGAUGAACAUAAAAUGUAUAAUAUUCAUAACUAGCCUUAUGACGUUAUUAUAGUUUUAAUGAAUUUAUUUAUUGGAAAAAAAAAAAUAGGCAUACUCUUCUUGUUGCAAAAAAAAAAAAAUAAAAAAAAAAAAAAAAAAAGUAGGUGUACUCUUCUUUUUCUUCUUCUUCUUCUUUUUUUUUUUCCCUUUCUUUUAAGUUUAAAAAAUAGUUUUUAUUUUCAUUUUAGUUUUAAAACAAACUUGUAGUAAUAAGACAUUUAACCACUAUCAUAAAUAUUUGGUUACACACAUGUAGAGUUGUAGAUAAAUUAUUUCACUUAAAUUGUUCACAACAUGCCACUCAUAAUAUUGAAUUUUGCAAAUUUUCUUUGUGGUUAGUAAAUUUAACCCUCGAUUUCUAUAUUGAACAUGAAUUUAAACUUUGACACAUUUAAUUAUUAAUUCAAGAGACAUAAAAAAUAAGAUGAGCUCCCUCCAAUCUAUUAGAUUGAAUUUGAAGAUUGAAGUGAUAUGAAAAAUAAUUUCCAAAAAUAAUAGGUAGGUGUAUAAUUUUGAAAAUGUAAAAACAUUAAAAAAAUUAAUAAUAGAGGGAUUAAAAAUGAAAAUAGAAAGGCAGAGUGUGAUAUAGGUAUACCUAUUGUUCGUAUAUGGAAAGUUAGGUCUGAAUGUCCGCUGAAGAGAAUACUUGAGAGUUGAGUUUAUGCCUCAACUGUACUCUAACUCUUAAGUCCUUUACCCAUUAAAUUUACUACUCAUCAUCAUCAUCAUCAUCAUCAUCUUCUUCCUCUCUUUCUCUUCAACACAAUAUAUACCAAUACCAUGUCUCUAAUUAUGCCAUUGAUGUUUAAGUCAUUGGUGAGGUUUUUAACAACGCUAAUUGUGGAGCCAGCAGCUUCGGUGUCGACCUUGCUAUUCUACAGUGAGCUUUUACCACAAAGCAACGUCUUAGAAAGACUGGUUCGUCAUGAAAUGCUUCGUCAAGAUAAUAAUUAUCUCUUCCAUUUCAUUGUUAACUUCUUGAGGUGUUUUUGGUAAUAAUCAAUUUUUUUAUGGGUAGUUAUAUUUACACCCCUAAUAUUAUUAAGUACACCCCAAAAUUUUAUAUACAUUCUUAACCUUGUGUAAAAUGACAAAAAUAGACAUUUUAAAAUUAAAUAAAAUUAAUUUUUAAGGAAUUUAUAAUUAAAUCAGUUAUUUCUAAUAAAUACACCUCAUUUACUUUUUUUUUCUUUUUUGAACGAGACCCUAUUUCCUUAGUUAAAUUGAGUAAUUUUAAAUCCUAAAAGAAAAAUAAAUAGCAACACAGUAUAGAAAAGAUUAUUCAUACAAAAGAAAUUAGAAAUUACAUAUAGAAAAAUAAAUAGCAACACAUAUGAAAGUUUCAUUGUAUGAAUCAUUUACAAGGUGGGAUUGUAUAUAAAUAGAGUAUUCACUUUCUUUGUAUUACUUCAAGAAAUUUUUAUAUUGCUGUCUGCACAUAUAUAUAACUUUCUUUUUUAUUGUGCCAAAAAUAAUAAAAAUAGUACUGUUUCAUGGUAUCAAAACAUGAUUCUUUGAGUUUUUAAAUAAUUAAAGAUCAUUCAUCACACAAAAAAAUAAAUCAGCGAGUAUAUAUAAAAAAAUCAAAAUGGUGAUUACCUUUCUUUCAAAAAAAAAUUGCGGUUACCUUAUAAAAAAAUCCUUUGAGUAGUAACAUAUAGAGAUUAAAAGGGAAGUUAGAGAUUUUCCAAUUAAAGAUUAAAAGAAGAAGAUGGUCUCUUUAAAAAAAUAUGGGGUGCACUUCUCCAUUUAAACAAGACCUACUUUUGUAAUAAAAAUGGGGUGCUUUUAUAAAAAAUAACAAUUUUAAAAAUAAAGAGGGGGUAAACUUAGAUAUGGGGUGUACUUAUAUAUUUUUGGGGUGCAAAUAUAAUUACCCUUUUUUUAUUUACCCUAACUUUAUAUAGUUGAUUAAAUUUUUUUAAAAAAUUACUAAAGUACGUCAAUAUUAUUAUUUUUUUUUUAUUUUUAUUUUUAUGUUUUGAAUUUUUGUAUUUAUGAAAAUUCCUCAUUAGUGAAAGUUAUAAACCCCUAUUUAGAAGUGUA